UGGAGCCUACGGGAGGCAGCAGUGGGGGAUAUUGCACAAUGGGGGAAACCCUGAUGCAGCGACGCCGCGUGAGUGAAGAAGUAUUUCGGUAUGUAAAGCUCUAUCAGCAGGGAAGAAAAAAGACGGUACCUGACUAAGAAGCCCCGGCUAACUACGUGCCAGCAGCCGCGGUAAUACGUAGGGGGCAAGCGUUAUCCGGAUUUACUGGGUGUAAAGGGAGCGUAGACGGAGGAGCAAGUCUGAUGUGAAAAUCCGGGGCCCAACCCCGGAACUGCAUUGGAAACUGUUUAUCUAGAGUGUCGGCG
This 305-nucleotide ribosomal RNA is filed under the name uncultured bacterium. RNAcentral describes it as "bacterial SSU rRNA". It matches the Rfam family "Bacterial small subunit ribosomal RNA", at positions 333 to 654 of the family's 1533-position model. The record is from RNAcentral.